This 484-nucleotide ribosomal RNA is filed under the name uncultured bacterium. Its description in RNAcentral is "partial 16S ribosomal RNA". It matches the Rfam family "Bacterial small subunit ribosomal RNA", at positions 30 to 507 of the family's 1533-position model. The record is from RNAcentral.
AUUGAACGCUGGCGGCAGGCCUAACACAUGCAAGUCGAGCGGAUGAAGGGAGCCUGCUCCUGGAUUCAGCGGCGGACGGGUGAGUAAUGCCUAGGAAUCUGCCUGGUAGUGGGGGAUAACGUCCGGAAACGGGCGCUAAUACCGCAUACGUCCUGAGGGAGAAAGUGGGGGAUCUUCGGACCUCACGCUAUCAGAUGAGCCUAGGUCGGAUUAGCUAGUUGGUGGGGUAAAGGCCUACCAAGGCGACGAUCCGUAGCUGGUCUGAGAGGAUGAUCAGUCACACUGGAACUGAGACACGGUCCAGACUCCUACGGGAGGCAGCAGUGGGGAAUAUUGGACAAUGGGCGAAAGCCUGAUCCAGCCAUGCCGCGUGUGUGAAGAAGGUCUUCGGAUUGUAAAGCACUUUAAGUUGGGAGGAAGGGCAGUAAGUUAAUACCUUGCUGUUUUGACGUUACCAACAGAAUAAGCACCGGCUAACUUCGUG